This 500-nucleotide ribosomal RNA is filed under the name uncultured bacterium. RNAcentral describes it as "partial 16S ribosomal RNA". It matches the Rfam family "Bacterial small subunit ribosomal RNA", at positions 30 to 523 of the family's 1533-position model. The record is from RNAcentral.
AUUGAACGCUGGCGGCAGGCCUAACACAUGCAAGUCGAGCGGUAGAGAGAAGCUUGCUUCUCUUGAGAGCGGCGGACGGGUGAGUAAUGCCUAGGAAUCUGCCUGGUAGUGGGGGAUAACGUUCGGAAACGGACGCUAAUACCGCAUACGUCCUACGGGAGAAAGCAGGGGACCUUCGGGCCUUGCGCUAUCAGAUGAGCCUAGGCCGGAUUAGCUAGUUGGUGAGGUAAUGGCUCACCAAGGCGACGAUCCGUAACUGGUCUGAGAGGAUGAUCAGUCACACUGGAACUGAGACACGGUCCAGACUCCUACGGGAGGCAGCAGUGGGGAAUAUUGGACAAUGGGCGAAAGCCUGAUCCAGCCAUGCCGCGUGUGUGAAGAAGGUCUUCGGAUUGUAAAGCACUUUAAGUUGGGAGGAAGGGUUGUAGAUUAAUACUCUGCAAUUUUGACGUUACCGACAGAAUAAGCACCGGCUAACUCUGUGCCAGCAGCCGCGGUAA